This 413-nucleotide ribosomal RNA is filed under the name uncultured bacterium. Its description in RNAcentral is "bacterial SSU rRNA". It matches the Rfam family "Bacterial small subunit ribosomal RNA", at positions 917 to 1333 of the family's 1533-position model. The record is from RNAcentral.
GGGCCCGCACAAGCGGUGGAGCAUGUGGUUUAAUUCGAUGAUACGCGAGGAACCUUACCAGGGCUUAAAUGUAGUGGGACAGGUCUAGAGAUAGACCCUUCUUCGGACUCAUUACAAGGUGCUGCAUGGUUGUCGUCAGCUCGUGCCGUGAGGUGUCAGGUUAAGUCCUAUAACGAGCGCAACCCCUAUCGUUAGUUGCCAGCGGGUAAUGCCGGGAACUCUAGCGAAACUGCCGGUGCAAACCGAGAGGAAGGUGGGGAUGACGUCAAAUCAUCACGGCCCUUACGUCCUGGGCUACACACGUGCUACAAUGGCCGGUACAGAGAGCAGCCACUACGCGAGUAGGAGCGAAUCUAUAAAACCGGUCUCAGUUCGGAUCGGGGUCUGCAACUCGGCCCCGUGAAGCUGGAAUC